AACGAACGCUGGCGGCAUGCCUAACACAUGCAAGUCGAACGGGACGUCCGGGCUUUUGGGGGCUGCGCUGGUUGCGAACUGGUGAGUAACACGUGGGUAACCUACACUUCACUGUGGGAGAACUUCAUGCAGGUGGGGGUAAUACCGCAUAAGAUCUACUGCUUUUGGAUGGGGGCGCGUUGGAUUCGCUGGUUGGUAGGGUAAUAGCCUAUCAACGCGACGAUGCAUAGCUGGUCUGUGAGGAGGAUCAGCCACACUGGGACUGAGACACGGCCCAGACUCCGACGGGAGGGAGCGGAGGGGAAUAUUGGGCAAUGGGCGAAAGCCUGAUCCAGCAAUGCCGCGUGAGUGAUGAAGGCCUUAGGGUUGUAAAUCUCUUUUACCCGGGAUGAUAAUGACAGUACCGGGAGAAUAAGCUCCGGCUAACUCCGUG
Molecule: ribosomal RNA, 433 nt
Filed under: uncultured bacterium
Lineage: Bacteria
Description: partial 16S ribosomal RNA
Rfam family: Bacterial small subunit ribosomal RNA
Source: RNAcentral